Long non-coding RNA from Pan troglodytes (chimpanzee), 11113 nucleotides. RefSeq lists it as uncharacterized. The transcript is spliced from 4 exons. NCBI's taxonomy places the organism in Eukaryota, Metazoa, Chordata, Mammalia, Primates, Hominidae. The record is from RefSeq and is a predicted model, not a curated record.
GCGCCCUCCCUCCCGGCCUCAGCCUCCUGGUUCGCCAAACCGGAGGACUGAAUUUAUGGCUAGCCGGUCUCUGGGGCGCCUUCCAGCUCUGACAUUCCCGCCUAGAAUAGAUCUUCCCGAAGGUUUCGCAGACAGACCAGAGGGGACAGAGCCGGGAAGGCGAGACAGGGACAGGCGAGAGACGCUGCUCCCAACUCGCAGAGGGAGAAAGCGUGUAUCCCGGGCUGCCGGGGAGAGUGGAAAGGACUUUGUAUGAGAUUUUGUGGAGAGGUCCUGGUUAACUUUAAAGAACUCCUUGGGUUAGUUGGCUGAGAACCAUUGGCUUUGGUUGGCUGCUGAGACUUGUGGGAGGACCAUUUGAAAGCGCCUACUUCUCCCAGAGGCAGGGUCUCGCUGUCACCCUCAGGUUGGAGUGCAGUGGUGCGAUCAUAGCUCACUGUAACUCCUGGGCUCGAGUGAUCCUUAGGCCUCAGUCUCCUGAGCAGCUGGGAUUACAGACGGAGUCUCAUUCUGUUGCUCCGGCUGGAGUGCAGUGGUGUGAUCUUGGCUCACUGCAACCUCCGCCCCCCGGGUUCAAGCGAUUCUCCUACUUCAGCCUCCCCAGCUGGGAUUACAAGUGCACACCACCACACCUUGCUAAUUUUUGUAUUUUUAGUAGAGAUGGGGUUUUGCCAUGUUGGCCAGGCUGGUCUGGAACUCCUAACCUCAAGUGAUCUGCCCGCCUCCGCCUCCCAAAGUGCUGGGAUUACAGGCAUGAGCCACUGUGCCUGGCCCCCAAAUAUAUCUUUCUUAUGCUCUAUUGAUGUCAGAGGUUCUAAGAUAUCACCAAAUCACCUGUUUGAAUCUUUAAGCUCUAACUUAAUCAUCCUCUGUCCCUUUAGUUAAGAGUUGGGGCUGGAGGCAGCCUGUCUUUUCUUUCCCACUGUGGGAUAUAGGCCAUUUUCAACCUUUUCCUGCUUCAUUACUUGGCUACUGGAGUGACAUUCUUUCAGACUUCCAUGCAUCUCUUUAAAAAGCCCUAACAUCUACUUGACAUUAGGCAAUAAAGAUAAUGGGAUCUCUCCUUUCAAGUUUUGUUCUGAUUCCAUUUUUCACAAGAGUAAAUUGAAAUGCAGAUGAUUUGGGCAGGUUGUUCCUUUGUUCUGUAAAGUCUGAGCUCUUAACUUUUGACCCCAUGUAACAAUUACAGGUACAAGCAGAACCACUUGCUAUCAGGAUAAGCAAGCAUGCUGUUCUCCUAGAACAUGCUGCACUUGACUUGAUGAGGCAGGAAGACUGAGAUGACAGCUAUACUUGAAUUCAUGCCAUUCCCACUGGUCACCAGUGACCACACCCUCCUAGAUACCUCUUAUUCCUGCAAGUUUUGUCGAGUCAAGGUGUCAUCAGGUUUGGUUUUUGAUGGUAUAUAUCUCAGUAGUUAGUCCAUCUCUUAAAAAUAUGAAGUGCUGCCUUUUGAAAUUUUUCAGUUCUGCAUAUAUGAUGUGUGCCUUUUUUGUUUUUUAGACAGAGUCUCGCACUGUCCCACAGGCUGGUGUGCAGUGGCACAAUCUCAGUUUGCUGCAACCUCCGCCUCCCAGAUUCAAGCAAUUCUCCUUCCUCAGACUCCUGAUUAGUUAGGAUUACAGGCACCUGCCACCACGCCCGACUAAUUUUUUGUAUUUUGAGUAGAAACGAGGUUUCACUAUGUUGGCCAGGCUGGUGAUGAACUCCUGACCUCAUGAUCCGCCCGCCUCGGCCUCCCAAAGUGCUGGGAUUACAGGCGUGAGCCACCGCGCCCUGCCUGAUGUGUGCCUUUGUAGGUGCUCUGUGUAGUUGCUAAACCAGCUUGCUAUUUCCCAGGUCCUCCUUUCUAGGUUGGCUUUCCUCUUGCCUUAGGAACCACUCUGUUUUAGAAACAUGGCAAAAUUAAGAACAAAAUGAAAUUGGAAUUAACGUAGAAAAAAGUUCAAAUAAUGAGAAGUCUUCUGUACUAAUUAUUUGAAAUGUCACUUUGCUGAGCCUCCAUUUCAUUUAUGUAAAGAAGGAAUAUAAUAAUGUCUACCUUUGCCUAGUUCGCAGCUUUAUGGUAAAGUUCUUAUGAUGUUAUUAUAGGGAACAUGUCUCUCAACUGUAAAGUGCUUGCUUGGAAGAUUCUUUUUUUUUUUUUUGAGAUGGAGUCUCACACUAUUGCCCAGGUUGGAGUGCAGAGGCGUGAUCUCAGCUCACCAAAACUUCCACCUCCCAGGUUCAAGCAAUUCUCCUGCCUCAGCCUCCCUAGUAGCUGGGAUUACAGACGUGUGCUACCAAGCCUGGCUAAUUUUUUUUUUUUUUUAAGUAGAGACAGCGUUUUGCCAUGUUGGCCAGGCUGGUCUCAAAUUCCUAGCCUCAAGUUAUCCACCCACCUCAGCCUCCCAAACUGCUGGGAUUACAGGCGUGAGCCACCAUGCCCAGCCUGAUAUUACUAUUAAAUAGCUAUGAGCUAGGCUUUCAGUAAAGUAUCCCCUGGAUGGCAAACCAGUAAGAAGAGCUUAUAAACUUCACUUCUUCUGGGUUACAAUCUCUUAUCUUUCUGGAACGGUAAAGCACAAUGGUUGAAAUUAGACCCCUUAAAAAAAAAAUCCAAUGCUGUAUAUUUGCUUUAUCAUAACAUGUAUCCCUACAUGGCACUUCUCAAGAAUGGCAUGGCAGGGAGGGAUAUGAUAUCUUAAGCAUGUUUUCUCAUUAUGCACUUGUACACUGUGCAUUGGUUUAUACUUAGUUGUUAGCAUUUUCACUAAAAUAAUAAUUUCUCUGCUCCUUCCUCACCACCAUUCCCCAGUUCCUCCUCUCCUCUCAUCUAUUAAUGAGGAGGCAUAAAUAGGACAGAAGAUGAGUAGUGAGGAAGGUGAUAACAAGGAGGAACAAAUAUUUUAUGAAUUGGUGAGUCAUUUUUUUGAGAUUGUCAUGGCCUAUGAGAGUAAUGACCAAAUGGAAAUUCUUUGUUUUGUUUUGUUGGAGACAGGGUCUUGCUCUAUCACCCAGGCUGGAAUGCAAUGGCCCAAUCAUGGCUCACUGCAGCCUCAACUGCAGGGCUCAAGCGAUCUUCUCACCUCAGCCUCCUGAGUAGGCGGGACUACACGUAAGCACCCCGACGCCCAGCUGAUUUUCUUUAUUUUUAGUAGAGAUGGGAUCUCGCUAUGUUACCCAGGCUGGUCUCAAACUCCUGAGCUCAGCACAGUCCUCAUGCCUUGGCCUCCCAAAGUGCUGGGAUUAUAGGCAUGAGGCACCAUGCCUGGCUGAAAUUGUUUUGAAAUAAUUUGUUCAUAAGCCUGUCUUCUCCAGUAAAUUAUAUGCACUUCUAUGGGGAAUGUGUCAUUUCUUAUACAUUUAAAUCUCCCCAGUGUUCAUUAGGAGAGUCUGGCACUUAAUAUGUGCUCAUUGGAUGGCUGUUGAACAGAACCUAAAUAAUGGCAUUUGACAUGACUUGAUUUAGGACAUAACUUCGGAAAAAACUGCUCUGUGUUCAACAAGGACUAGCCAAAAUGUAAAAUUGGAGAAAAUAACACUCUAGCCUUUUGAUAUCAUCCUCAGUGCCCCCAAACAACAUAGAGUUGAUUCCUAUUGCUGAAUCACCUACAGAAACCUCACCUCUGUUAUUAUAACAAUAGUGACAACAUAUUUAUUGAAUAAUUACUAUGUGCCAGGUCCUGUCUAAGUGCCUUAGAUGCAUUCAUUCACUUUAUCAUCAGAGGAGCAGCAACACUAUGUGUUCUUAUUGUUUUCAUUUUAUAUAUGUAGAAACUUAUAUAGAUGGAAACUUAUAUACCCUUCCCAAGGAGAUGGAUAUUACUUCCUCCAAAUCACAAAUCUAGUAUGUGACAGAGCAGAGAUCCAACCCAGAAAGUCUAACUUCUGCAUCCAUGCUCUUAAUCACUACACCAUCUUUCCUCUUUGCACCGAACAGUUCUGCAGACAGCAGAUCCUUGAUGGGAAGUUGUGGUGAAAGGGGCAGUAGAGCCAGGUGGGCUCGAGGAACAGGAGAAAGGCAGUGCCCGGUGUCUGCUCUGGCUCCCUGUGGGUUGGGGCCAGUCUGAGUACUUCCCUCCCUGUGGCGUAUUUCUCAGUGUUGGUGACCAGACAUGGCUCUGCCCCAGCUCAAUGGAUUAGCCAGGGAUUUCAGUUAAAACCACCGGCACUACCAGCCAGGCUGGCUUUCCUUCCCCACACGCUCUUCUUCAAUUGAUGCAGACAUCAUUGAAAGAUAGCAUUAUGUGAGUAAUAUAGAAUACAAACAAGAAACGUUACAGCAUCUGAUAGAAUAGAAAGGCUGGCUUCAACCAGACCAGCUGGAGCUCAGUGAUGAUUGCUGCCACUUAAUCUCUAGAGGUACAGAGUUUGGUAGAAUUAAGGAUCCUCCUGAAACUGUUGUUGAAACAAGUCUCUCAGUAGUCCAGACUUUCUGUAGCCGCUUACUGAAAACAGGAAGAUAUUAUGAAAAGCCAUUGGAGGAAAGGGUGUCUGUGAAUGACUUCCAGCAGUGAAUGAAUCAUUAGUCAACCCUGGACAUAAAACUCUGCAUAUGCCCUGAGUUCUUUUCAUUGAUAGCCCAAUUCAUGUUCUAAUCUUGUAUGUGGAAACCUGGGGAAACAGUGAAAGAUGCUCAUAAAAUCUUAGGCUUCUUCUUUGAAUGUGCUAUGAAAUAAGUGGAGUAUUUAGUCUACUUUCAUAGAAAUAAAUGGGCAAACAAAAGAAAGCAAUUCCAUUUCCAUAAUUUCCAUAUAGGAGAUCUCCAUUUUGUAAACAGGUUGCUUUUCUAAAGGUCUAGUCUAACUCUAUGAUGAUUGUUAUGAAUUCAGAAAAAGUUUUCCUGAGAAAGAAUAUUGUAGGUGUGUAGAUAAGAUCCCAGGCUAACCCACUAAAGGUUUCAUAGAUACUAAACUGCUAUAUAUCUGUAAUGGAAAAAAGUAUAAAAUAAUCCUAUUGAAAUAUCCUGGUGAAAUGUAAGAUAUUUCAUUUCAGUUAUUUAAAAGAAAAUACUUAAGAAAAUUCAGUUUUAAUUAAAAUCUUGCUUAGGGAAAUGAGGUUUUGGUGCAGAUAUUGAAGAGGGUUUCAAGGAACUGUUGAGGACUGUACAGAUUUAUAGCACAACUUCAACGUGUCCAGGUAUCCAGAAUUGUCAUUGAAACAUUGGUAGGUACUCAGUGAAUAUCUAUUAAAUGCAUGUUGAUUGAAUUUCAUCUUCCCUUCAAGAAGUAUGACUUUCCUUUAUCUUGACGUAAAAGCAUAAGGUUCUCUUUAGAAAACACUGAUAUUUUCCCCCGAUAUCAGAAAUCUAUUUGCCUCAUUUCUUGGUGUUUUAGGACAUUAGACAUUUUCAAAGAGAUUUGAUAAUUCAAUUUGUUUGACAAAUCUAGCCUCUUCUCUAUUAUCCAGUUUGAAAAGCCCUGAGUGCGUGGCUGUGCCCCAUAGAAAUCUCUAGGACAAACUGUUUUUGUUUCUCUGUUUAUAUUUGAUCACAGGACUGACUCUGUUGGAGAUGUAAUGGAUAUUCGCACUUACUAAGCAUUAGCACAACCAUAUUGACAAUAACCAAAGCAGGCAGAGGCCCAAGCAUAACUCAGUCUACCAGACAGAUUCCUAUCCUACAUAUUCAAGUUGCAAUAAAAAUGAAAGAUUGGGAAAUUUGAAGCUAAAAUGUUUCCUCUUGCCUUUAACCACAGAGCUGCAACACUAUGCAUUUUUAAGAGUGAAAAACAGCCUCCUGUUCAUCACUGUAGUUAAGUAUAUGUUGUUCUUUCCUCCAGCAUCCUAACAGACCUGCAUUUUGCUAAUCCCUAAUAGCAGCAGUGAUACCUAGGUUCAACAGGAGCAUUUUUACUAUUCUCUACCUAAGUGAGAAAUUUAACAUUUUAUGUAUAAUAAAGGGACCAGAUAUCCAGGUUUGCCUGGGACACUUCUGAUGUACGCCUGUUGUACUGGUGUAAUUAUUAAUAAUUUCAAGAUGGAGUCUCACUCUGUCAUCCAGGCUGGAGUGCAGUGGUGCGAUCUCGGCUCACUGCAACCUCCACCUCCCAGUUUCAAGUGAUUCUUGUGCCUCAGCCUCCUAAGUAACUGGGACUGCAGGCGCCCACCACCAUACCCAGCUAAUUUUUGUAUUUUUAGUAGAGUCGGGGUUUUGCCAUGUUGGCCAGAGUGGUCUCGAACUCCUGACCUCAGGUGAUCCAACCGCCUUGGCCUCCCAAAGUGCUGAGAUUAACAGGAGUAAGCCACCAUACCCGGCCAAACUGAUUAUAUUUAUAUACUUGUGUCAUAGAUGAAAUAAAGAAAGCAAACAAAGGAGAAUGGAAAUAUCAGUGUGAGAAAUAGGUUGUUUGAGAAAUGAUUAAUGUUGUUAACUGUGAACAAUAAAGAAAAAGCAGGAGUUACUUUGCAUUUUCUUCUCCUCAUCCUUCUACCCAAGGCACCAGAAUGGAGAUAGAAAGAUUUUGGCCUUUCAUUUCCCUACCCAACCACCAAGUGGUGCUGUCAGGCAGGAACAGUUUAGUUGCUGGCCAGAGCUCUUGGCAUGUGGGAAGAUAGAGAAGCAGAAAUAAUGUGUCUGUUCUUUUUUUAGUUUUUUUAGAGAUGGGGCCUUGCCGUGUUGCCCAGGCUGGUCUUGAACUCCUGGCCUCAAGCGAUCUUUCCAAGUCAUUGAAAUUGCAGGUCUGAGCCAUUAUGCCUGGCUCUGAAAGAAGAUACUUUUGAGUAUAUAGCAUUAGUUGCAGAGGGAAUGUUUGUGUUAUCUGUAAUGGAUAAAUUAUAUGUAGGAAAUACACUUUAAAUCCUCACUAAUGAAUGAAAAUAUUAAACUGGCAUGGAGUCAUAGGAAGGGCACUGGAUAUGGAGUCAGGGCUGGAUUUCAUUUCUAACGCCUCCACUUCAUACUCACAUAUCCUUGGCUGCUUUAUUUAACUUAUUUAAAACCUAGUUCUCUUCUCUGUAAAAUGUGGCUAAGAAUGUCCUUCCUUGCCUCUUUACUCCAGUUGUGAUCCAGUGAGAUUAUGCUCAUGAAACAACCUUGCGCUUUUCUAGUGUAAAAUGGCAUAUGCAUUUCCCGAAGUGUUAUACUUAUUUCUUAAUCUAGAAAAGUGAAGGUGUGGGCCAGAUGACUUCUGAGGGAGUUUCUCUUCUCAAAUUCCGACAGUCAGAGUGGCCUAGGUUUUAAGUGAUCAUGUUCUUCCUCAUCAACAGUUUGCUGAUGUCGCUGACUCAAGAAAGAAGAACACAGAGGCCUGUUCUAGGCUCUGCUCCUGAUUUGCUGAACACUUUGUGCCUAGUUUCUACUUCAAGGGACAACGGAAGAACCCAUGAAACACUAGGAACCAAGGAGCUUCUUGGUAUUCAACCUGGCUAUUGAGUUAAUGUGAUCAUAUAAUUUGUCACCUAACCUAGAACACUGAAGAAUAAAAGGAGUGCUAUUAAUAAUUACACCAGGGGAGUCCGAGGCAGGUGGAUCACCUGAGGUCAGGAGUUCAAGAGCAGCCUGGCCAACAUGGCAAAACCCCAUCUCUACUAAAAAUACAAAAAUUAGCCAGAUGAGGUGGUGGGGGCCUGUAGUCCCAGCUACUCAGGAGGCUGAGGCAGGAGAAUUACUUGAACCCAGGAGGCAGAGAUUGCAGUGAGCCAAGAUCACACCACUGCACUCCAACCCGGGUGAUAGAGCAGGACUCUGUCUCAAAAUAAUAAUAAUAAUAACACCAGUACAACAGGCAUACAUCAGAAGUGUUCCAGGCAAACCUGGAUAUCUGGUCCCCUUAUUAUACAUAAAAUGUUAAAUUUCUCACUUAGGUAGAGAAUAGUAAAAAUGCUCCGGUUGCACCUAGGUAUCACUGCUGCUGUUAGGGAUAAGCAAAAUGCAGGUCUGUUAGGAUGCUGGAGGAAAGAACAACAUAUACUUAACCACAGUGAUGAACAGGAGGCUGUUUUUCACUCUUAAAAAUGCAUAGUGUUGCAGCUCUGUGGUUAAAGGCAAGAGGAAAAUAGCUUCAAAUUUCCUGAUCUUUCAUUUUUAUUGCAACUUGAAUAUGUAGGAUAGGAAUCUGUCUGGUAGACUGAGUUAUGCUUGGGCCUCUGCCUGCUUUGGUUAUUGUCAAUAUGGUUGUGCUAAUGCUUAGUAAGUGUGAAUAUCCAUUACAUCUCCAACAGAGUCAGUCCUGUGAUCAAAUAUAAACAGAGAAACAAAAACAGUUUGUCCUAGAGAUUUCCAUGGGGCACAGCCAUGCACUCAGGGCUUUUCAAACCAGAUAAUAGAGAAGGAGUCAGAUUUGUCAAACAAAUUGAAUUAUCAAAUCUCUUUGAAAAUGUCUAAUAUUCUGAUAUGGGAAAAAUGUCGCAAUAUUUUCUAAAGAGAACCUUUAAACCAGAAGAGAAAUGUGUACUACUAAGCUUGGAAGCAAAUAACAAAAGGAUCAACUUUCUAAAUAGUUUGUAGAGAGGAAAAAUGGCUCAAAUAAGUUUAAAUGGCAGCUAAUAAAUAUUCCUUUUAUGUUUUGGAGUAUGUUAUUAAUUUUUGAUUGCCCAUUUAACUUCUUUUGUUUAGGAGAACAUUAAUUAGAUUAAUUAGGUCAAUACGCUGAAGGAUAGAGAGAUGUAUUUGUUGCACGGAAGAGGAAGGGUGCUCAAAAGCUUAAAUGAUGAUAGAAAUCAGUUUGGUAGUUUAAAAAAAUCUAAUACUGGCCGGCCGUAGUUGCUCACGCCUGUAAUCCCAGCACUUUGGGAGGCUGAGGCGAGCGGAUUACUUGAGGUCAGGAGUUCGAGACCAGCCUGACCAACAUGGUGAAACCCUGGCUGUACUAAAAAUACAAAAAUUAGCCAGGCAUGAUGGCAGGUGCCUGCAAUCUCAGCUACUCGGGAGGCUGAGGCAGGAGAAUCGCUUGAACCCGGGAGGCGGAGGUUGCAAUGAGCCAAGAUUGUGCCAUUGCACUCCAGCCUGGGUGAAAAAAAAAAAAAUCAAAUACAGAUAAGCUACACAUACAAUGGAGAAUCAAGUAGAUAAAAUUGUCAUAUUGCUCUGUAGACAUCCAAUCACUUUAGAACAUUAAAAUGUUCUUUCUAAAAAUGUUCUCAUUCCUAAUGCCUGACUCUGAAAAGAGCUGUUCAUUUGUAAUUCUGGGGAUGUGACAUCAUGACUGGUUUUUUUGAAAAUAUAUGCUGGGUUCUACGGUAUUUUUGCCUGAGCUCAAAUUACAUAGUAAGAUACAUCAGAGACCUGUGUGGUGUUGCACAUGCACCAUGGGUAGAUUUUCAGGCUGCCCAAUCACAUGCCUUUCCUUAGGCCAUUAGACUGUCUACUGCAAGCAGACAGAACUUCCUCAGGUUAGUUGUGUAUUUUGAAAAGUCCAGAAAAGAGUCUUUGACAGAAUGGAAUUAUCUCUUUGCAUAAAUAUGUAUUAAUAGAUUAUUAUUUUUAUGGUCCAACUACCAUUCUUAUUUUAUGACUAUAAUUAGGUCAUGGAUAAAAUGACCCACAGCUGGUACCUUGCAGAGCUCCAAAUUAUGCCAAAGUCCAACCACCCAUGCUGCUUGUUGCCAUGCUACUCAGUGAUAUGGACCUGCUUUUUUUCCCCAAUUGAGUGGUUUUUAUGAGCAGGUGUUCAGCUAAUAGGACAAACAGAGGGUGUGCAGCUUUAGCCAGCUCAUUAACAUCACGAAAUAAUUGAAAAGGACAGAUACACCAGAAUGUCCAGCUCAGGGGACAGCUUUGAACCUACAAUAGAUCACUUUUCUGAGCAUCAGCUGUGAUACUGCAGAAAGAGAUUGAGUGAAGCUUCAGAAGACCCGGAGUCUCCUUCCAGCUCUAUCACAUAAUCUCCAGGUAACUUUGGACAACUGUCUUAAUUGCUUUAGACGUCCAUUUCAUCAUCUACUAUUGAAGCUAUUAACCUGCCCCACCUGUCACACAAUGUUGUAGGAUUCAAUGAGAUGGAUUAUGUUUAUGAAUGGCACUAUAAAUUAUCAACACUACAUAAAUACAAGGUACCAUUAUUAAGGUUCUAAUCUAGCUUUCCCAGUGACUCAGGAUAUAAUUGGGCAACAAAAUGACAUCAGGUUUUGCAAUCAUUAAAAUGGCAAAACAUUUUAGAAACUUCACUCAACCUCAUGACUAAUAAGAUUUCUUAGAACAUUUCAUUUGCUUUUUCUGGGUAAUCAAUAACCAAUAUCGAGAAAUAAAAUGCUUCUAGAAUUUAUAAAGCCAAGUUUAAGAAAAUGACAUUUGGCUGGGUACAGUGGUUCAUGCCUGUAAUCCCAGCACUUUGGGAGGCUGAGGUGGGAGGAUCACUUGAAGCUAGGAGUUCGAGACCAGCCUAGGCAACAUGGAGAAACCCCACCUCUACUAAAAAUACAAAAAUUAGCCAGGCAUGGUGGCACACGCCUGUAAUCCCAGCUGCUCUGGAUGCUGAGGGACAAGAAUCGCUUGAACCCGAGAAGUGGAGGUUGCAGUGAGCCGAGAUGAUGCCACUGCACUCCAGCCUGGGCGACAGAGCAAAACUUUGUCUUAAAAAAAAAAAAGAAAAGAAAAGAAAGAAAAGAAGAUGACAUUGAAUGCAACCACCCACUGCUAAAUUUGAUUGGCUGAAAAAUUAUUAUUAUUAUUAUUAUUAUUACUUGAGAUGGAGUCUCACCUGUCUAAUUUUUGUAUUUUUAGUAGAGACAAGUUUUUGCCAUGUUGGCCAGGCUGGUCUCGAACUCCUGAGCUCAGGUUGUCUGCCUGCCUCAGCCUCCCAAAGUGCUGGGAUUACAGGUGUGAGCCACCGCACCCAGCCUGACUGGCUAAAAAAAAUUUUUUUAAUAAAAAAAAGAAAAGAAAAUUAUAUUGAGAAGGGGAGAUCACUGAAGAUUGUGCUCUUUUAGUUCUAGAAAAUUAUUUGUCACUCAAUCUCUUAUUAAAGUACAAGGGAACCUGGAGAAGCUUGUAAAUGUUUGAAAUACUAACUGGUUACAUUAUGUCUCCAUUUAUCAUGGACAGUUCAAUAUUCCAUGCUGUGUAAAUAAAACAUAAACCCUCUAGCCCACUCCUUUCCCUUUCUGUUUCCCAUGAACCAGAUCUAAAGGGCGGUGGAACAAACAUAUGAGAAUAUUCAUUACAGCAUCAUUUCAGAGAAUUGGAGGCAAGAAA